GAGGUUGCAAAACCAGGUUAAGAGUUUGAAACAGAAGUGUGACACUCAAGAGGUAGAGCUACAGAAAUCACAAAUAAGAGCAGAGGAAGAAUCGUCCAAAUGUAUACAAGCGAUGGAAGUAACCAAGGCUACCGCUGCCCAGUUGAAGGCGAUGACAGAAACGUUACCUG
This is a long non-coding RNA of Papaver somniferum (opium poppy), 170 nucleotides long. RefSeq lists it as uncharacterized. NCBI's taxonomy places the organism in Eukaryota, Viridiplantae, Streptophyta, Magnoliopsida, Ranunculales, Papaveraceae. The transcript has 3 exons. The record is from RefSeq and is a predicted model, not a curated record.